Molecule: ribosomal RNA, 253 nt
Filed under: uncultured bacterium
Lineage: Bacteria
Description: partial 16S ribosomal RNA
Rfam family: Bacterial small subunit ribosomal RNA
Source: RNAcentral
UACGUAGGGUGCGAGCGUUAAUCGGAAUUACUGGGCGUAAAGCGUGCGCAGGCGGCUUUGCAAGACAGAUGUGAAAUCCCCGGGCUUAACCUGGGAACUGCGUCUGAUACUGGAUGGCUUGAGUUCGGGAGAGGGAUGCGGAAUUCCAGGUGUAGCGGUGAAAUGCGUAGAUAUCUGGAGGAACACCGGUGGCGAAGGCGGCAUCCUGGACCGACACUGACACUGAGGAGCGAAAGCCAGGGGAGCAAACGGG